RNAcentral lists this ribosomal RNA (839 nucleotides) under uncultured bacterium. RNAcentral describes it as "bacterial SSU rRNA". It matches the Rfam family "Bacterial small subunit ribosomal RNA", at positions 19 to 848 of the family's 1533-position model. The record is from RNAcentral.
CUGGCUCAGGAUGAACGCUAGCUACAGGCUUAACACAUGCAAGUCGAGGGGAAACGACAUCGAAAGCUUGCUUUUGAUGGGCGUCGACCGGCGCACGGGUGAGUAACGCGUAUCCAACCUGCCCACCACUUGGGGAUAACCUUGCGAAAGUAAGACUAAUACCCAAUGACGUCUCUAGAAGACAUCUGAAAGAGAUUAAAGAUUUAUCGGUGAUGGAUGGGGAUGCGUCUGAUUAGCUUGUUGGCGGGGUAACGGCCCACCAAGGCAACGAUCAGUAGGGGUUCUGAGAGGAAGGUCCCCCACAUUGGAACUGAGACACGGUCCAAACUCCUACGGGAGGCAGCAGUGAGGAAUAUUGGUCAAUGGACGAGAGUCUGAACCAGCCAAGUAGCGUGCAGGAUGACGGCCCUAUGGGUUGUAAACUGCUUUUAUAAGGGAAUAAAGUGAGUCUCGUGAGGCUUUUUGCAUGUACCUUAUGAAUAAGGACCGGCUAAUUCCGUGCCAGCAGCCGCGGUAAUACGGAAGGUCCGGGCGUUAUCCGGAUUUAUCGGGUUUAAAGGGAGCGUAGGCCGGAGAUUAAGCGUGUUGUGAAAUGUAGACGCUCAACGUCUGCACUGCAGCGCGAACUGGUUUCCUUGAGUACGCACAAAGUGGGCGGAAUUCGUGGUGUAGCGGUGAAAUGCUUAGAUAUCACGAAGAACUCCGAUUGCGAAGGCAGCUCACUGGAGCGCAACUGACGCUGAAGCUCGAAAGUGCGGGUAUCGAACAGGAUUAGAUACCCUGGUAGUCCGCACGGUAAACGAUGGAUGCCCGCUGUUGGUCUGAAUAGGUCAGCGGCC